GAUGAACGCUGGCGGCGUGCCUAAUACAUGCAAGUCGAGCGAACAGACGAUGAGCUUGCUCCUUUGACGUUAGCGGCGGACGGGUGAGUAACACGUGUAUCACCUACCUAUAAUACUGGUAUCACUUCGGGAAACCGGAGCUUAUACCGUAUAAGAUAUUGAACCGCAUUGUUGAAUAGUGAAAUACGGUUUUUCUGUCUCUUCUAGAUGGAUCCGGGCCGCAUGAGAUGGCUGGUAAGGUAACGGGUUACCAAGGCAACCAUGCGUAGCCGACGUGAGAGGCUGAUAGCCGGCAUGAGAGCGUGGCCGCGGACAAGAGUACUGAGGGAGGCACCAGUAGGGAAUCGUACGCAAUGGGCGGAAACAUGGCGGAACGACGCCGCGUGAGUGAUGGAGGUGUUCGGAUCGUAAAACUCUGUUAUUAGGGAAGAACCAAUGUGUAAGUAGAUGAGGACGUCUUGACGGUAACUAGUAAGAAAGCAACGGCUAACUACGUG
RNAcentral lists this ribosomal RNA (497 nucleotides) under uncultured bacterium. RNAcentral's name for it is "partial 16S ribosomal RNA". It matches the Rfam family "Bacterial small subunit ribosomal RNA", at positions 28 to 507 of the family's 1533-position model. The record is from RNAcentral.